AAAAAAAAUACAAAAACUAUCACUAGAUCCUAGUGAUAUUAACUUUGAGA
RNAcentral lists this small RNA (50 nucleotides) under Arabidopsis thaliana (thale cress). Its description in RNAcentral is "ATSL065090". Lineage: Eukaryota; Viridiplantae; Streptophyta; Magnoliopsida; Brassicales; Brassicaceae. The record is from RNAcentral.